This is a non-coding RNA of Cinara cedri, 1193 nucleotides long. The record is from the annotation of a GenBank genome assembly. NCBI's taxonomy places the organism in Eukaryota, Metazoa, Arthropoda, Insecta, Hemiptera, Aphididae.
AAUAAAUGUAAACUAUUAUUGUUGUUAUUAUUAUUAUUAAUUUUUAAGUUUUAUCUGAAAGAUAAUUUAUGGAAACAUAUUGACUUAGUAAAGUCCCUAUUGAAAAACUAAUUCAUACUUUAACGUCUUUUAUGAAAAUCCCCAACUCAUUAGCGGGAAUAAGUGUACAAAAAUAGGCAUUUCAAUAUUAGGUUAUUAAAGUAUUUGCAUUAUCUACAUACUAGCCAUUACCUAAUUAUCAAAUUAUAAUAUUUAGGUACUCAACUUUACGAUUUUAUGUUAGUGUUGGUUACCAACAAGACAUCGGUGAACAUAGAGGUUCAGCUCUUAGUCAAGCGUCUGCCAGUAGAUGCCUAAGCCUGAAUGAAGUAACUGAAGCUUUAAAUAAUUCCCAAAUUUUAAAUCAAUAUAUUUAUUUUCCAAACAUUAGAAAUGAACUACAUGAUGAGUUACUUAGAAAGGGCGAUAAUUGAUUAAUAGGGAUUAAUUUAAGUACCUACAUUUAAAUUGAUUUAUAAAAUAUAUUUUUAAACUUAUUAGAUUUUAUGAGACUUUCAAUUCCUCAAGUUAUUGAUGGGACACAUAUAUAUAUAUAGCAAUCGUUCCUCAUAAAUCUGGGGAUGAAAUAGAACCAGAACUUAUUUAUGUUAACAGAAAAGGUUAUUAUAGUAUUAAUAUGAAACUUGUAAGUUUUAAAAUAUAGGUAUACCUAGUGGUCGAAGGGGGGGGGGAUGACAUCCCACAAUUUAUUAUAAUCUACAUUUUUCAUCCCUCCACUUGUUUUGUCCAAAAUAAUACAUCCCCCUUAUAAUUAUAUACAAAGAUUAUUAAUUUAUAUUGAUGUUUUUAUAUCAUAAUGUGCCAUUAUAAUCUAUAGACUAUACUAAUGACUAAUGUAUAAAUAGUUUAGUUUUUGUAUUUGUUUUUAUACCUACUGUAUAAUGAUAUAAUGCUUACUGUUAGAACCUAUUGAUAAGCUGUAUGUGUAUAAAUUAUACAUUUAUUUUUAAUAUGUUUUAUGUUUUAAAUAAAAAUAUAAUUAUAUGUAUAUACAAAGUUAUAUAUAUCAACAAAUAAAAAAUCAAACUGAAAAACAAAAAUAUAUACUAUAUUUAUAUAUAUACAUUUUUAAUAUAAAAAUAAGGCAUAGGGCCAUAGGGGUUCAACUCAUUUCCACCUCCAAUUACCCCAAC